AACCUUUGCAAUUAAGAUGAGAAAAAGGUGGGAGGAAACCCAGGAUGAUAGAGAGGGGAUGGAAUCUAUCGGGAAGUGUUUGGGGAGAGAGGAAGGGCCUGAGGUGAAAUCAUGGCCAUCUCCAUGUCCUUGCCCACCUUUUUAUUCCUCUCUCUGUCCCUCUUUCUUCUCCCAGGAAAAAACACACACACAAGGAGAGAGAGAGAGAGAGGGAGAGAAGAAGAGAUGGGAGGACAAGCAAGCCUUUCCCAAUGACCAAAAGCUGGCCCCAAUCGCAUAAAUAUAUAGAGGGGGCUGCCUACUGCUUGGUCCCUUCCGCUUUCUGCCCACAUUUGCAUGCACCAAAACAAGAGACUCCCUGAUGAGCUGCAUAAAUAUAUGGAGUACUAAUCAACCCAUAAUCCAAUCUUUGCCAGGAGGGGCCCUCCCUCCCGUGGGCAGAAUAAUGCCAAGAGUGGGAACUGAAAGCAGCAGCACCGAACGAUAAAGAAGAAGAACAAGCUGGAUUUUAUUGCCCCAAACAAGGCAACAAAUCGCCUCAAGAACUACCAAGCAGCCAAAACAGAGAUUGCAAUCCCUGAUGAGACGACAAGUCCAGGGAUGCAGCGGCCCCUCAAAAAAGAAGUCCAGGGAUGCAGCGGUGCCAGGCAGGAAUGGGAACCAGACAGAGAAAUUCUAAGAGGAACAAACCAAGAAGGAUGCGGUUCAGUAACCCUCCACAAGUCCGAAUUAUCUUGACAGGUUUUUUUCUUUUCUUUUUUGAGAACAAUUAUCUUGACAGGUGAAUCGGUGGAAUUUGGAGGAUUCUCUUCCAGCACCACUUGGGCUACUGCCCAAACAGGAGUUG
Molecule: ribosomal RNA, 847 nt
Filed under: Triticum aestivum (bread wheat)
Lineage: Eukaryota; Viridiplantae; Streptophyta; Magnoliopsida; Poales; Poaceae
Description: partial small subunit ribosomal RNA
Source: RNAcentral